Molecule: ribosomal RNA, 254 nt
Filed under: uncultured bacterium
Lineage: Bacteria
Description: partial 16S ribosomal RNA
Rfam family: Bacterial small subunit ribosomal RNA
Source: RNAcentral
UACGGGGGGGGCAAGCGUGUUCGGAAUUACUGGGCGUAAAGGGCUCGUAGGCGGCCAACUAAGUCGGAUGUGAAAUCCCCAGGCUCAACUUGGGAACUGCAUCCGAUACUGGAUGGCUUGAAUCCGGGAGAGGGAUGCAGAAUUCCAGGUGUAGCGGUGAAAUGCGUAGAUAUCUGGAGGAAUACCGGUGGCGAAGGCGGCAUCCUGGACCGGCAUUGACGCUGAUGAGCGAAAAGCGUGGGGGAGCGAACAGG